Molecule: long non-coding RNA, 2449 nt
Organism: Drosophila simulans
Lineage: Eukaryota; Metazoa; Arthropoda; Insecta; Diptera; Drosophilidae
Exons: 3
Source: RefSeq, a predicted model, not a curated record
CAGAGCGAAAAUAGCAAAAGCGUGAUUCAAUUAGGCGGCCAAUUGCUGAUGAACUGUUAAUUGAGUUUGCUGAUUAUUCGCCAGUCACCCGAUUGUUUGCAUUUAAAUUGUCUCAUUUGCCCAGAUUUCAGUUUUCAGUUUCCAGACCCAAUAUCUGGAACUGGAUUGCGCCCCGAGGGGCAAGUCGAGCGGCAGCAAUUGACACAGAAAGCUGGCCAAAAGCCGCCUAAGCGCCACUUGAAUGACCAGCUUUUGGCCAAAACACAAUGUGCUGUUGGCCGUUCCAAACAAACACUUGUCGACGCCAUCGACCUGAAGAGUUUGCUGACCAGACGACCGGCAGGCCGACCGGCUCAUCCAUUCCUCGCGUGCACUCCGCAAAUGGGUCAGGCCCCCGAAUCGAAAAUGUGUGCCGUAUCUCGAACGGUUCAAUUGCCCCAUGCCCACAGAGAUAACUAAUGAAAAUCUUUGAUUAUCUGGCCGGGGCACGUUGCGUGUUUGCCUGCUGGCCGCCAGCAAGUUGCACAACUCCAAAUUAAUCUGCUCAAGUUUUUUGGGCGCUGACUUUUCGGCCACAUAGUUCAUUAGACGUGCGUGAAAUGCAAAAUCUUCGAUUGCAAAUUUGAAUCGCAAAUUUUGAGCGUUAAUCAAUCAACAUUAUAUUGUUUAUCCAGUUCAAAUCCCCAGCAUCCGAGUUAACCCAUCGUAAUCAGCGACAAAUUACAUUACAAGGCGGGGCGACCCUGACACUGAAGAUGGCCCAUCAUCCCGAACUUGACGGCGGCACUUCAGGAGGAUUUGGAUACGGAUUGAGUGCCGGGAAUGGUAGUGGGAAGAUGAUACCGAGUGCAGUCGCCUGCAGUUCACGGCUAUUCAAAUUCGAAUUCCUUAAGCCUUUAAUGACAUCGGGAAAGGAGCUUCGAGUCUGGAUAUACGAGCACAUCCAUUAGGCACUCACGAGAUGCGGACAUUGAACCUUGAAAUAGACCUUAGAGAGUUGGCGAAGAAAACACAAAAACCUGGCGGCGACUGAUGCGAAACCAACGAAAAUAAGUUGGAAAUGAAAACUGGUUUGGUUUAAGCCAAGUUAGAACACUAAGUCAGCCAGCAAAGAAUCAAAAACAAAAGGCCUUACUCUUACUCAUAUUAAUAAUAAUAGUUAUACACGGGAUGGGCUCCACAAAGGGCUGUAAACAAGCUACUGCCGCGGAAAAUUCUAGUCAUUCUAAUUUGAGAUAUUCCCAACUUGCGAAAUGAGAUGUUUGUUUAGUCAGAUCUCAAUCGACAUUCCUGAUCACAGAAGGAGAUUUAUGAACACAUUACGAGAAAGAUGCCGUGCGUGCCAUUGAUAUUAUAAUUCACUGAUUAUGUUCGGCUAGAAAUGGAGUUGGAUUUAUGAAUGUCCGCCGGUUCGGUUGUCAAGCCAGAGUCACGAAAGCCACCACUGGAUGGUACUUCAACCUCAAGCUGCUCAAGUGCCUUGUAAUCGCUCUGUGAAUCACUAAAGCGGAUUGCUGUUUAAUUCCGAUUCUGGUGGCGUCUAUAUGGUGGCGGAAAUAGCCAGACGAAAGCGCCUUAAAGCCCGGGCUUUUCGUGCAACCCGAUUGCAUAAUCGAAUUUGGGGCUAGAACUUUGGAGUAGACCGGCGAUGCCAAAGACGAUUUGCAGAUUGCCCGUAAUCGCACACCCGGAGCAUAUUAGUAUUGGGGAGUCGUGUUCCAUCCAAGCUGAUGAUUAUCUUUGGAGCCCCUAAGACCCGCCAUCGAAAUCGAAGAUCGACCCCAAGCGCUGGCAGCCUUGAAGCGUUUUGCAGAAGGCGAUUCGUCGGCACAACAAUGGCGAUUGCCAGCUGAAAAUCGUCAAAUUCAAUUAAACUUAAAUACUUGUCGAAGCAAUUUGCCCAGCGUUUUUCAUAUUUGCUUUGCAUUGAGCCGGGUUUAUUUAUUUCAGCGAUCUUUGAUGGUCGCUGCUCGCCGUUCGAUUGGAGGCGCUGCUAAUUGCUUCCCCCGAAUUCGAAUUGGCCGUGUAACGAUGAUCAUGUUGUUGGUCGGUUCAAGGCGGAAGUGCCGGAAGUGCAGCCGGCGGUGGCACACCCUGCAGUCGCUACUGUACAGUGGGCACCCACACUUUGUUGACGAUUGGCACUUGAGCGACAUUCGCGCACGCGCAACCUGGGUAAAUUUACGCGAAAUGCUCGACAAAUGGGCGACAAAUUAUGCCAAAUGAAAAGAGGCGUGACUGCGUUGGCAUUUAUGCUCGUUUCGCUACAAACAAACGCCCCCGCACCACCCGCCUCCCUGGACCGCCCGCUGAAAUGCGCCCAAAAGCCGUAAAAACAAAUGCUGAAGUGUCUAGCUACAGUUAGAAAAAUUCCCAAGAAAAUGUGGCCACAAUAAAAUGGUUUAUUGCGUGCGGAAUUCUGAGUAUCUUUCUUUUGUAAAAUUCAAUU